RNAcentral lists this ribosomal RNA (447 nucleotides) under uncultured bacterium. RNAcentral describes it as "bacterial SSU rRNA". It matches the Rfam family "Bacterial small subunit ribosomal RNA", at positions 355 to 825 of the family's 1533-position model. The record is from RNAcentral.
UCGGGAAUUUUGGGCAAUGGGCGAAAGCCUGACCCAGCAACGCCGCGUGAAGGAUGAAGUAUUUCGGUAUGUAAACUUCGAAAGAAUAGGAAGAAUAAAUGACGGUACUAUUUAUAAGGUCCGGCUAACUACGUGCCAGCAGCCGCGGUAAUACGUAGGGACCAAGCGUUGUUCGGAUUUACUGGGCGUAAAGGGUGCGUAGGUUGUUUGAUAAGAUAUAUGUGAAAUACCUGGGCUCAACCUGGGAAGGUCAUAUAAGACUGUCAGACUCGAGUAUGGGAGAGGGUAGAGGAAUUUCCGGUGUAGCGGUGAAAUGCGUAGAUAUCGGAAGGAACAUCGGUGGCGAAGGCGUCUACCUGGCCUAAUACUGACACUGAGGCACGAAAGCGUGGGGAGCAAACAGGAUUAGAUACCCCCGUAGUCCCUGAGCGGGCUGGCAAGGCGCAU